RNAcentral lists this ribosomal RNA (891 nucleotides) under uncultured bacterium. Its description in RNAcentral is "bacterial SSU rRNA". It matches the Rfam family "Bacterial small subunit ribosomal RNA", at positions 18 to 906 of the family's 1533-position model. The record is from RNAcentral.
UAUGGCUCAGGAUGAACGCUAGCGGCAGGCUUAAUACAUGCAAGUCGUACGGGAUCCGAGGUAGCAAUACUUUGGUGAGAGUGGCGCACGGGUGCGUAACACGUAUGCAACCUACCUUUAACCGGGACACAACCUCGAGAAAUUGAGGCUAAUAUCCCAUAACACUGCGAAAUGGCAUCAUUUUGCAGUUAAAACUCCGGUGGUUAUUGAUGGGCAUGCGCGACAUUAGCUAGUUGGUGAGGUAACGGCCCACCAAGGCUACGAUGUCUAGGGGUUCUGAGAGGAUUAUCCCCCACACUGGUACUGAGACACGGACCAGACUCCUACGGGAGGCAGCAGUAAGGAAUAUUGGUCAAUGGGCGCAAGCCUGAACCAGCCAUGCCGCGUGAAGGAUGACGGCCCUAUGGGUUGUAAACUUCUUUUGUACGGGAAAAAACCACCGGUCGUGUAUCGGUGCUGAUGGUACCGUAAGAAUAAGCAUCGGCUAACUCCGUGCCAGCAGCCGCGGUAAUACGGAGGAUGCAAGCGUUAUCCGGAUUCAUUGGGUUUAAAGGGUGCGCAGGCGGAGUGAUAAGUCAGUGGUGAGAGCCUACAGCUUAACUGUAGAACUGCCAUUGAUACUGUCAUUCUUGAGUAUUGUUGAGGUAGGCGGAAUGUGUCAUGUAGCGGUGAAAUGCUUAGAUAUGACACAGAACACCGAUCGCGAAGGCAGCUUACCAAGCAAUAACUGACGCUCAUGCACGAAAGCGUGGGGAUCAAACAGGAUUAGAUACCCUGGUAGUCCACGCCGUAAACGAUGAUCACUCGAUGUUGGCGAUACACAGUCAGCGUCUUAGGGAAACUAUUAAGUGAUCCACCUGGGGAGUACGGUCGCAAGAUUGAAACUCAAAU